RNAcentral lists this ribosomal RNA (497 nucleotides) under uncultured bacterium. Its description in RNAcentral is "partial 16S ribosomal RNA". It matches the Rfam family "Bacterial small subunit ribosomal RNA", at positions 28 to 507 of the family's 1533-position model. The record is from RNAcentral.
GAUGAACGCUGGCGGCGUGCCUAAUACAUGCAAGUAGAACGCUGAAGGAAGGAGUUUGCUCUUUCCGGAUGAGUUGCGAACGGGUGAGUAACGCGUAGGUAACCUGCCUGGUAGCGGGGGAUAACUAUUGGAAACGAUAGCUAAUACCGCAUAACAGUAGAUGUUGCAUGAUAUCUACUUAAAAGGUGCAAUUGCACCACUACCAGAUGGACCUGCGUUGUAUUAGCUAGUUGGUGAGGUAACGGCUCACCAAGGCGACGAUACAUAGCCGACCUGAGAGGGUGAUCGGCCACACUGGGACUGAGACACGGCCCAGACUCCUACGGGAGGCAGCAGUAGGGAAUCUUCGGCAAUGGACGGAAGUCUGACCGAGCAACGCCGCGUGAGUGAAGAAGGUUUUCGGAUCGUAAAGCUCUGUUGUAAGAGAAGAACGAGUGUGAGAGUGGAAAGUUCACACUGUGACGGUAUCUUACCAGAAAGGGACGGCUAACUACGUG